CGCUUGGACCUUGGACGCUACUGCGUCCAAGGGGCUCAACGUCCUUUCCGACGAUGAGCACAGCGCGAUACGCAAAGAAACGGUGCUCCGUGGAAGUGUGUGAAAGCGACACCCGCACGGCUGGCGUCUCGCUGCACCGGUUUCCCCUCGACUCUCGAAGGCGCGAAGUCUGGGUUCGGUUUUGCAACAACCGAAGUCUACAGGGGAAGACUCCAUGGCAGCUACGAGACAGGGUAGUUUGCUCAUUACAUUUCGAGGAGUCGGCUUUCUUGCGGCCUGGACACCUCCGUCACAAUGCGUUGCCAAGUGUUCUUCCCACAAAAGAGACGACGCGUGGGGACAUUUCCAGCAAAAGCUCUCCU
Molecule: long non-coding RNA, 362 nt
Organism: Ixodes scapularis (black-legged tick)
Lineage: Eukaryota; Metazoa; Arthropoda; Arachnida; Ixodida; Ixodidae
Exons: 3
Source: RefSeq, a predicted model, not a curated record